GUAUUGGCCUACCGUGGCAAUGACGGGUAACGGGGAAUUAGGGUUCGAUUCCGGAGAGGGAGCCUGAGAAACGGCUACCACAUCUAAGGAAGGCAGCAGGCGCGCAAAUUACCCAAUCCUAAUACAGGGAGGUAGUGACAAGAAAUAACAAUACAGGACUUUUUGGUUUUGUAAUUGGAAUGAGUUAAGUAUAAACCCCUUUACAAGUAUCAAUUGGAGGGCAAGUCUGGUGCCAGCAGCCGCGGUAAUUCCAGCUCCAAUAGCGUAUAUUAAAGUUGUUGCAGUUAAAAAGCUCGUAGUUGGAUUUCUGUUAAUAAUUUAUAUAAAAUAUUUUGAUGAAUAUUUAUAUAAUAUUAACAUAAUUCAUAUUACUAUUUUUUUUUAGUAUAUGAAAUUUUACUUUGAGAAAAUUAGAGUGCUUAAAGCAGGCAUAUGCCUUGAAUACUCCAGCAUGGAAUAAUAUUAAAGAUUUUUAUCUUUUUUAUUGGUUCUAAGAUAAGAAUAAUGAUUAAUAGGGACAGUUGGGGGCAUUUGUAUUUAA
RNAcentral lists this ribosomal RNA (541 nucleotides) under Cryptosporidium hominis. RNAcentral describes it as "partial 18S small subunit ribosomal RNA". It matches the Rfam family "Eukaryotic small subunit ribosomal RNA", at positions 333 to 901 of the family's 1831-position model. Lineage: Eukaryota; Apicomplexa; Conoidasida; Eucoccidiorida; Cryptosporidiidae. The record is from RNAcentral.